UACGGAGGGGGCUAGCGUUGUUCGGAAUUACUGGGCGUAAAGCGCGCGUAGGCGGAUCUGCAAGUCGGGGGUGAAAUCCCGAGGCUCAACCUCGGAACUGCCUUCGAUACUGCGGGUCUCGAGUCCGGGAGAGGUGAGUGGAAUUCCUAGUGUAGAGGUGAAAUUCGUAGAUAUUAGGAAGAACACCAGUGGCGAAGGCGGCUCACUGGCCCGGUACUGACGCUGAGGAGCGAAAGCGUGGGGAGCAAACAGG
This 253-nucleotide ribosomal RNA is filed under the name uncultured bacterium. RNAcentral describes it as "partial 16S ribosomal RNA". It matches the Rfam family "Bacterial small subunit ribosomal RNA", at positions 524 to 776 of the family's 1533-position model. The record is from RNAcentral.